This is a small nucleolar RNA of Sorex araneus (European shrew), 104 nucleotides long. Lineage: Eukaryota; Metazoa; Chordata; Mammalia; Eulipotyphla; Soricidae. The record is from Ensembl.
AUCCUUUUCUGGUGCGUAAGCAUGAUGAUCGGGGAUUCACAUGUUUGUCUGACAUGUGCCUCCCUUAAAUCUUGUUACACACUUGACACUUCACCCAUCUGGUG